GAUGAACGCUGGCGGCGUGCCUAAUACAUGCAAGUCGAGCGAACAGACGAGGAGCUUGCUCCUCUGACGUUAGCGGCGGACGGGUGAGUAACACGUGGAUAACCUACCUAUAAGACUGGGAUAACUUCGGGAAACCGGAGCUAAUACCGGAUAAUAUAUUGAACCGCAUGGUUCAAUAGUGGAAGACGGUUUUGCUGUCACUUAUAGAUGGAUCUGCGCCGCAUUAGCUAGUUGGUAAGGUAACGGCUUACCAAGGCAACGAUGCGUAGCCGACCUGAGAGGGUGAUCGGCCACACUGGAUCUGAGACACGGUCCAGACUCCUACGGGAGGCAGCAGUAGGGAAUCUUCCGCAAUGGGCGAAAGCCUGACGGAGCAACGCCGCGUGAGUGAUGAAGGUCUUCGGAUCGUAAAACUCUGUUAUUAGGGAAGAACAAAUGUGUAAGUAACUAUGCACGUCUUGACGGUACCUAAUCAGAAAGCCACGGCUAACUACGUG
Molecule: ribosomal RNA, 497 nt
Filed under: uncultured bacterium
Lineage: Bacteria
Description: partial 16S ribosomal RNA
Rfam family: Bacterial small subunit ribosomal RNA
Source: RNAcentral